This 496-nucleotide ribosomal RNA is filed under the name uncultured bacterium. RNAcentral describes it as "partial 16S ribosomal RNA". It matches the Rfam family "Bacterial small subunit ribosomal RNA", at positions 29 to 507 of the family's 1533-position model. The record is from RNAcentral.
AUGAACGCUGGCGGCGUGCCUAAUACAUGCAAGUCGAGCGAACAGAUAAGGAGCUUGCUCCUUUGACGUUAGCGGCGGACGGGUGAGUAACACGUGGGUAACCUACCUAUAAGACUGGGAUAACUUCGGGAAACCGGAGCUAAUACCGGAUAACAUUUGGAACCGCAUGGUUCUAAAGUGAAAGAUGGUUUUGCCAUCACUUAUAGAUGGACCCGCGCCGUAUUAGCUAGUUGGUAAGGUAACGGCUUACCAAGGCGACGAUACGUAGCCGACCUGAGAGGGUGAUCGGCCACACUGGAACUGAGACACGGUCCAGACUCCUACGGGAGGCAGCAGUAGGGAAUCUUCCGCAAUGGGCGAAAGCCUGACGGAGCAACGCCGCGUGAGUGAUGAAGGGUUUCGGCUCGUAAAACUCUGUUAUUAGGGAAGAACAAACGUGUAAGUAACUGUGCACGUCUUGACGGUACCUAAUCAGAAAGCCACGGCUAACUACGUG